UGAUGCAGGGAUCACCGGAGAAGCCGAAGCGGACGCUUGGGAUGAGGAAGCUGGUGGUCUAGCUGGUUGCUUAUGUGUUAGGAGUCGAUUGAAUCAGGGUUCGAGAUCUGCAGUUAGACCCUUUUGGUUGUCGCAGCCUAAAAUUUGUCACAGUAGGGCUAGUAGCAUAUGCUCCUACAUUAUUAUGGCUUCAGUUUGAGAUGUUUGGUUUUCAGUUCAGUAUUUUUCUCCCUUUUUUCAAAUCGAGGAGCUUCGACGCUCCCGAUAUCGUCGAGAUGAAACAAAAACGAAUUCGAAAAGUUCCCAGCACACGUACAACCUCCCGAUAUCUCUCCCUAAUAAUAAAGCUACCAUCGUGGUUGUUUUGCACAAAACCCCCUGAAGUUUUUCGAAAUCAACCCGCAGUCCCGAUUUAAGUGAAUAACCAAUCGUUUUUGUAUUGUUUACAAAUAAUCCCCUGUGAGUUCCCGAAAUCAACCCGCAGUACAUGAUUAGCUCAGAGAACGAAACGUUUUUUUGGAGUUUUUGUAAGAAGCUCUUUCAGUUUUCACAAAAUAAACCCGCAGUACAUACUUGAGUAAAAAAAAA
RNAcentral lists this long non-coding RNA (588 nucleotides) under Hordeum vulgare. RNAcentral describes it as "long non-coding RNA (HVUL_LNC003800)". The record is from RNAcentral. Lineage: Eukaryota; Viridiplantae; Streptophyta; Magnoliopsida; Poales; Poaceae.